AGAUUAUUGAAAGCACAGGAGUUCACUUAGAAGUAAUAUGGAAUUAAGCAAUGGAUAUGAAAGAAGAGAGAUAAACAAUCACACCCAGAGUGACUUCCCACUCUUCAUUGUCUCAUGCAAAGGAAAGACAUUCUUUGGGUGAGAUCCUUCCAAAGCAAACAUCCUGAGCACCUAUGCAUCCCACUUGUGGAUCACAGUAGCCAGCAGGCUGACUCACUUAUAUUCAUGCAACUCCCUGGUGCCAGUGAAUUACACUGAGAAUAUUCUAGGCAGCCACAUUGCUGGUGAUGAAAAGGUGGGGAAGUAGAGGGUUACCGAAAUGGUAACUUUCUAGAAAGCUCGUUCUAAGAAUGUUUCUUGAUAUACUGAGAACUAGUAUGUCAGUAUUCUAGCAGGAUCUUUUCUACCAGUAGCUUAUGUGCUUAUAGAGCAAGGGAAUUAAAAUGCAGUGGUUUUAGUUGAAAGUGUUAAUGUCAGGCAGUCUGCAAAAACUCAGUACUUUUCAAGCUUAUUUGCCCUGUACUAUAAUCUAAACUACCUGCCCUGCCAUCUGUUUUUGUUCUGUAAAUAACUGUUCCCAAUCCAACUGCCUACUGAAUAGCAAGCCAGUGAUUCAGUUAAUAAUUAUAAACCUUAACAAUUCAACAAGUAACCGCAUACAAAGAAACUAGAUAUCACAUGUCUGAAUAUUUGAUAGUCAUGCAAGACAGAAAAUGGGGCUUCUGGAACACCAGUCAUGUUGGGAACUGUUGGGGAAGGGGCAGGGCGGGGUAGAUUGUUAGGUUUUGAAUGAAACUUUGCCUUAACGGUUCCAGUUCAAUCUUUCCCACACAAGCUCCUGCCCACAUCUCACAGAAGUAUUAUAUCUGUUCACUUCCUUGUACUUUGCUCCAAGAAUUAGUGAGUCAUGGUUUAAGCACAAAUUCUUAACAUAGGUGCUACAGGCAAACAAAGGAAACCCAAACGCCUCAUUCUUCUAUUUCUUCUUUAAAAGGAAACUCAUGCUGGUGGCAUUUGUGUAACAUUCCUUUUACAUAACAGCAAGAACUUCAUCUGAGGAAAGAAACAGUGGUGCAGCUGUAGGAAGCGGUAGGUGGGGGGUUGCUCUUCGCUCAUCUUUGACCCUUCCUGGCCUUCGCUGUUCAUAAUGCGAUACAACAAUUCCUGGGCCAACCCAGAAUGUGAAGGUGGGACAUAGAAAGGGGGCAUACAAGAGAGGCAGCCUACUUGUCCAGUGUUAGGAAAUGAUGAGAUAGGCUCUUUAAAUGUGUAGGCAACUCAGAUGAGCUGGGGUUAUAUCCUUUUCUGAUCUGAUGUUUAUUGGCUGUGUGACUCUGGCAAUAUAGGGAAGUAUUGCUGGGAGUUAUCACACCGUUUGGCAAAAUCAGGACUAUAACAAAAGGUAAUAGAUAACUUAUCUUUAACUGUGUCUGAUACACACAGAUUCACCAAACCCUAUAGAGUCCAGUUCAGUCUUCUCCUGCAAGACUAGAAACUGAUUUUCUUUGUUUUGGUUUUUGGUUUUGUUGUUGCUGUUUGUUGCUUUGUUUUGUUUUCGUUUUGCCCUGGUAUUUGAGACUGGAGAAGAACUCACAGGACUGUUCUAGAACCAGGAGAGAUGAGCUUGUCUCACCCAGAGCUCACACCUGAGACUUCAGAGCAAACCACACAUUAACUACUGUGUGGCCGGAGAAGGGAAGUAUGCACAUCCCCCUCCUAAUAGUCUUUUGAGUCUCAGAAUGUGGAGAGGUUUUCGGUACUAUCUGAGACAGCUUAUGUUAAUCCAUUAACCUAUCAGUAUCCUGGAUGGAUUUGGUGGUUGCUGUUUGGAUCCAUUUCACACUGGCUGUGUACUGGAUAGAAUGUGAGACAUAGACAAAUGGUGCUUAUAUGAAAGGUGUUCCACUCUGCUCCUGUUGAAUAGCAUUGUCUAAUUCCAGCAAGAGUGCCACAGUUAAUUUAUUUAACAGUCUUUUUGAAGAGAUAUGUUGGACCUUCAUGUUAUUUCUCUUAUGCCACUUUCUGAUUCUGGAUAUUUACCUUUUGUGUGUAUCUGUCCUCUGUGUUCCCGCCUGCUUUGCUUCUGAGUUUGCUCCCCCACAUCUAAACUGGAACCACUCACUUUGUUGCUGUGAGACAGUUUCUCCUAGUAACAUCAGAAGCUACAUUCAAAAGGUCUAACCAACCUGACUGUCGGAUGUGAAAUGAACAAGGACGAAAAAGGAUGAUAGCAAUGAACUUCUGAAGUGGAUGGAGUCCAUGAGGUCUCUACCCUAAACAAGGAACGAUUGAUACGUGAGGAACGCUAGGAGUGAAAGAGAUGCUCUUCCCCAGGGAAGAGCACACUGAUUGGUUAUCUGACACCAACUGAUCAACCCUAGAAACAUAUAUAAAAGGAAUAGUGUACAUUUUGAACAGGGUAUAUUUAGGAAUAUUUAUGUAUAUAUGUGAGUGUAUAUGUAUGUUUAUGUCUGUAUAUGUAUAUGUCUGUACAUAAUAAAAGUAUGUGUAUAUAUGCAUGCAACAAUUAAUGAAAAAAAGUCAUGAAUUUAAAGACUUGGGAGAUGUGGAAGGAAGAAAAAGGAGAAAUGUUAAAUUGUAUUAUAAUAUUAAAAAUCCAAACAAUAUUUAUUCAUAGAAAAAGCAAUAGAAAAUUCACACAAUAUGUUUCUCUCUAGUUAUACAUUUGGACCCAAUAGAUUGUGAUAACAAUUGUCUUUCCACUAAUUCCAAGAUUUAAUUUCUAUUUUUAACUUAUUAUUGCUCCAUUUUUCCAAUACUUAACUUUAAAAAAC
RNAcentral lists this long non-coding RNA (2795 nucleotides) under Rattus norvegicus (Norway rat). RNAcentral's name for it is "partial HAfT22 cufflinks 00053773". Lineage: Eukaryota; Metazoa; Chordata; Mammalia; Rodentia; Muridae. The record is from RNAcentral.